RNAcentral lists this ribosomal RNA (415 nucleotides) under uncultured bacterium. RNAcentral's name for it is "bacterial SSU rRNA". It matches the Rfam family "Bacterial small subunit ribosomal RNA", at positions 82 to 478 of the family's 1533-position model. The record is from RNAcentral.
CCAGACCCUAUUAACGGCGGACUGGUGAGUAACGCGUGGGUGAUCUACCUUGAGGACUGGGGAUAGCUGUUAGAAAUAGCAGGUAAUACCGAAUACGUUGGAGGAGCUAUGGCACCUCCAAGAAAGGCGCUAAGGCGCCGACUUGAGAUGAGCCCGCGUCCCAUUAGCUAGUUGGUGUAGUAAAGGUGCACCAAGGACUCAGAUGGGUAGCCGGCCUGAGAGGGUGAACGGCCACACUGGGACUGAGAUACGGCCAGACUCCUACGGGAGGCAGCAGCUAAGAAUAUUCCGCAAUGGACGAAAGUCUGACGAGAGCGACGCCGCGUGGAUGAGGAAGGCCGAAAGGUAUGUAAAAUCCUUUAUGCACGACGAAGAAUAAUCACUUUAGCGGACAUGAUACGUGAGAUGACGUUAA